GCCAGGCACGGUGGCUCAUGCCUGUAGUCCCAGCUACUCAGGAGGCUGAGGUGGGAGAACUGCUUAAGGACAGGAGUUCUGGGCUGUAGUGCACUAUGCCAAUCAGGUGUCUGCACUAAGUUUGGCAUCAACAUGGAGACCUCCCGGGAGCCAGGGAACCACCAGGUUGCCUAAGGAGGGGUGAACCGGCCGAGGUCAGAAACGUAGCAGGUCAAAACUCCAGUACUAAUCAGUAGUGGGAUUGCGUCUGUGAAUAGCCACUGGGCAACAUAGUGAGACCCCAUCUCU
This 288-nucleotide signal recognition particle RNA is filed under the name Saimiri boliviensis boliviensis (Bolivian squirrel monkey). Its description in RNAcentral is "Metazoan signal recognition particle RNA (ENSSBOG00000012169.1)". It matches the Rfam family "Metazoan signal recognition particle RNA". Rfam says of the family: The signal recognition particle (SRP) is a universally conserved ribonucleoprotein. It is involved in the co-translational targeting of proteins to membranes. The eukaryotic SRP consists of a 300-nucleotide 7S RNA and six proteins: SRPs 72, 68, 54, 19, 14, and 9. Lineage: Eukaryota; Metazoa; Chordata; Mammalia; Primates; Cebidae. The record is from RNAcentral.